RNAcentral lists this ribosomal RNA (477 nucleotides) under Triticum aestivum (bread wheat). RNAcentral describes it as "partial small subunit ribosomal RNA". The record is from RNAcentral. Lineage: Eukaryota; Viridiplantae; Streptophyta; Magnoliopsida; Poales; Poaceae.
AUGAUUUGGAUUCUGCCAGAACAUCCGAAGAAGCUCACUGCUAUGUUCAGAAACCUGACCUCUGUGUUUCUUUGGGAUAUCUUCAAUGAGUGUGAUCUGAACUGGACACUGUUUAUCCUUGAAGCUGCACCUUGCCUACAGUGUAUUGAUUUAUCUCGACAUUCAUGCAUCGAGACGCCCGACAACAGUGCCGAGAAGACCAACGUGGUGUGGGAGCCAUCCAAGGAUUUCAAGCACCUAAACUUGAAGUUGCUGGGGAUCCAAGGGUGCGAGGAUGAAGACAAGGUGACAAACUAUGUAAGGCUUGUGAUGGAACGAGCUGUGCGGCCGUUGAUAAUCAAGCUGCAGGAUGAAUUCCCAUGCAGGGACUGCAAUGCCACCAACCUUGACAGAUCCAAGGCGGACAAAGCUAGCAGGCGCCGGAUUAAGGAGCGACUCGCGCAUGGAUCAUCCUCAUGUGUGAAGAUAAUUAUCUGA